Molecule: unclassified non-coding RNA, 144 nt
Filed under: uncultured fungus
Lineage: Eukaryota; Fungi
Description: sequence contains ITS1, 5.8S rRNA gene
Source: RNAcentral
CCAGAGAUGGCGACCUUCGGGUCCCGUCCCCAACCCUUUGUUGACCCAAAACCAUUUUGCCUCGGGGGCAGAGCGUCCGCCGCCGCCCCCGGAGGACCACCUAACGCUGUUUUAAUACGUCGGAGUAUUGAUUAAAUAAAUUGA